Molecule: unclassified non-coding RNA, 271 nt
Filed under: Hevea brasiliensis (rubber tree)
Lineage: Eukaryota; Viridiplantae; Streptophyta; Magnoliopsida; Malpighiales; Euphorbiaceae
Source: RNAcentral
AUACUUGUCAUGUUAGUUCCUAGUUCUUCUCCUGCGUUUCCAUGAAAUUCAUUUUUGUACGACAACAGAAAUGCUACCCAUAACAAAAUUGAAUUCACAGAUUCUUCUCGCAGAACCCCUUAAGGAAAGGGAACAAUUCAGCAAUAUUUCAUAUACAAAACAAUACAGAGGACCAGAAUCCAAAAUGCGCAACUAAAUGAAAUUGAGGAUAAGGCAGCAAUUCCUCUAACCAAGCAAAUAACUACGAAUCAGCCAAGAAAAGAGAAAGCUA